Molecule: long non-coding RNA, 777 nt
Filed under: Brassica napus (rape)
Lineage: Eukaryota; Viridiplantae; Streptophyta; Magnoliopsida; Brassicales; Brassicaceae
Description: long non-coding RNA (BNAP_LNC018539)
Source: RNAcentral
UCAAAGUUUAGGCAAGAACUAUAAAUUUAACAAACAAAGUUGAGAACUUUACCUUGCAUGUCGGCAACUGAUGAUCUUGGGAACAAGGAUGUGUGGAGGCGGUGGCUAAGAGACAAUGGCCGCGAAACAUAUACCAGUGAUAAGGUCGAAAUGAAUAAAAAACAGUGGAUAUUGGGAUUCAAUUGAGAUAAAGGUUUAGCAAACUCCAUCUUCUUCUUCUCCAUAGCUUGGUUUCUUCUUCUCCAUAGCUUGGAACUCUAAACAGAGACCAAACCAGAUUCAAGAAAGAUCAAACAUUUAGAAUCCAGUCAAGAGCUUGGUUUCUAACAUGUGGCUCCCAUCCCCCAGAACACAAUCACUUGAGGUAAUCAGCUCUUUGCAAGAACUCAACCUCUAGCUCCAACAAAUCUCGGACUCUUUCUCCUCUCAAUGAUGAUGGAAAAGAACCCAUCAUCAGUGGUUGUGGCUGACGGAGACGAGGCGGAAUGGCGACAUGAAAACCCGGUGAAAAAGCGAGAAAGAUUAGUGAAAGAACGAGAAAGAUUAAGAAAGGAUCCAGUUCUUCGUUGUCUUCAACAGGACCAGAAGAAAAAAAUCAGAAAAAUUAGAGUUCAUGUAUUUAGGAAAAUAGUUUAGAUCUAAGCCGGCCCCUCUCAGACAUAAAUUGGACUGUGCUACAAAAAAAUUUAGACCCAUUUUUUCAUACAAAUUUUUAUUUUUUUAAAAAGGGCUCUAAGCCUAGCUGAAAAAAGACAAAAAAUGAAAUGGACUCUGUAC